Ursus thibetanus thibetanus is the source of this 2438-nucleotide long non-coding RNA. The record is from Ensembl. NCBI's taxonomy places the organism in Eukaryota, Metazoa, Chordata, Mammalia, Carnivora, Ursidae.
AUGUCUGUAAGCUCUACACCCAAUGUGAGGCUCAAACUCAAUGACCCUGAGAUCCAGAGUCACAUGCUCUUCCAACCGAGCCAGCCAGGCGCCCCAGGUAAGCUGUUUCUGAUCCUCUUUAGCAAUGGACAAGAAUAUGUUUGUCAGAUCAAUAGUCACCUUUCAAGUGCAUUACGGUUAGAGCACCACAUUCAGCUUGGCAGCUACAAUUAAGGUUACAAGUCGGUUAGGUUUAUGAUAGUCCACCAUCAUCUGUCAGGGCCUAUUUGCUUUUUGCAGAGGCCAGAGAGGUGACUUGAAUAGGGAUAUAAUGGGAUGAACACUCUUCCAUCCUUUAAGUCUUUUAUGAUAAGUACUAAUCUCUGCAGUUCCCUUCCGGAUGCAGUGUUGCUUCUCACGUACCCUCCUAGCUGGCUGUAGCAGUGGGCUGGCUGGGUAAUAUCACAGGCUUCCAGUUGGCCCUUUAUACUAUAAAGAUCAGGAAAUUAAGGCAAAGAUUCUGAUAUCUGCUAAAAAUAUCUCUAUCAAUCUGUACUCUCAAAUAUUGGGGGAUUAAUUACAGAGUAGGUCUAUGAAUGUAUUUCACCAUUGUGACAUGUGCUUGGACUAGAAGUCCUUUUAUCACUUGGUGUCCAUAUUCCUCACUCUAACCAGAGGCCCCUUAUGAUGUUUGGGGGCCCCUGGUAUAAUCAGUGUCUGCUCACACUCCAUAUCCAACCAUCCUGAGAGGUUUUUUUCUCCCCUAUCCAACCUUGCAUUCCAUCCAUCCACCUAAGUCUAAUACCUUCAAGGUCCAUCUUCACACAUGUUCCCUUGCUUCCUUCCAGCACGCAUUGGCCAGGGCCUGCAAUACGUUUGGUGUAGAAGUCAUCUCCUCCCAGGACAGAGACCCUUCUUUCCAGCCCAGGCCAAUACCUGACUCUGGUUAUUAGCCUGGCAGCCAAUGGGGUGAUGGGUCAGAUACUGAGUAGGGAGAGUGGCAUCUUGUAAAGUACCUGCCUUAGUUCAGGCUUUUGUAGCAUCUCCAAACAAGGAGAGACUGCUUUCUUCUGGCAAGAGGGAAUGGGCUGCUUCUGCUGCAAGAGAGAAUCUGGAGUUUCAGUUUCUAAGGUUUCUCUGCUAACGUGACCCUAUCUCAGGUAUUAGGAUGCUCUUCUUUUUCUAGCGGGACUCUGGCAUUGGCACAGGAGACAACAGAGGUUGUGCAUGCCACCUCCUUUGCAGCUGCCACCAGUGCCAUACUGAGAAGGGCCCUCAAAAAAUAAAACAUGGAGCCUACUUGUUUAAAAUGUUCCUUUUGAAAGGCAUCUCGGCUCCUUCCACGAUUUAGCUAUUGUGGACAAUGCUGCUAUGGACAUUGGGGUGCAUAUGGCCCUUCUCUUCACUACGUCUGUAUCUUUAGGGUAAAUAACCAACAGAUGACUGGAUUAAGAAGAUGUGGUCCAUAUAUACAAUGGAAUAUUACUCAGCCAUCAAAAAGAAUGAUUUCUCAACAUUUGCUGCAACAUGGACGGGACUGGAGGAGAUAAUGCUAAGCAAAAUAAGUCAGGCAGAGAAAGACAAUUAUCAUAUGGUUUCACUCACUUAUGGAACAUAAGAAGUAGGAAGAUCGGUAGGAGAAGAAAGGGAAGAAGAAAGGUGGGGUAAACAGAAGGGGGAAUGAACCACGAGAGACUAUGGACUCUGGGAAACAAACUGAGGGCUUCAGAGGGGAGGGGGGUGGGGGAAUGGGAUAGGCCGGUGAUGGGUAUUAAGGAGGGCACGUAUUGCAUGGUGCACUGGGUGUUAUGCGCAAGUAAUGAAUCAUGGAACUUUACAUCAAAAACUAGGGAUGUACUGUAUGGUGACUAACAUAAUAUAAUAAAAAAUAUUAUUAUAAUAAAAAAGUUCCUUUAAAUUUUCUGAUUAUCAUAAUAUUAUGUGUUCAUUGUACAAAAUUUAUAAAGUACAGAAAAGUAUAAAGACAUGGAAAAAGUUAUCACCCGUAAUUAUGCUACCCAGAGGCAACUGGCACAUUUACUUCCAAUCUUUUUUUAAUGCCUAUUUUAACCUAGCUGAGGUCAGGCUAUAAAUAUAAUUUUAUCUGUUCACUUAAAAUAUUCACUUAGUUUGAGAAAAAUUGCCCAUACUAUUAAAAUCCCAAGUUUUAGAAGCUGAAUUUGCACAAGUAGAUAGAGCCGAAAUUUAAUGAACUGUUCUGUUAUUGGGCAUUUAAGUUGUUUCCAAAUUUUGCUGUAGGGGCAGGAGUAAGGGUCUUAGAGGCAGGUGUACUUGAGUUCCGGUCUUGGUUCUGCUUACUAGCUGUGUAGCCCUGGGUAAAUUACUGGAUUUCAAAUUCAUCUUCUAAAAAUUAGGUUGACAAUUCCUAUCUCCUAAGGUUUUGGUGAGGAUUAAGUGAUACGUAUAAACACCAAAAGCAGCUCUUGGCACAUAGCAGG